RNAcentral lists this ribosomal RNA (253 nucleotides) under uncultured bacterium. Its description in RNAcentral is "partial 16S ribosomal RNA". It matches the Rfam family "Bacterial small subunit ribosomal RNA", at positions 524 to 777 of the family's 1533-position model. The record is from RNAcentral.
UACGGGGGGGCAAGCGUUGUUCGGAAUUACUGGGCGUAAAGGGCGCGUAGGCGGCCUUCUAAGUCGGACGUGAAAUCCCUCGGCUCAACCGAGGAACUGCGUCCGAUACUGAAAGGCUUGAAUCCGGGAGAGGGAUGUGGAAUUCCAGGUGUAGCGGUGAAAUGCGUAGAUAUCUGGAGGAACACCGGUGGCGAAGGCGGCAUCCUGGACCGGCAUUGACGCUGAGGCGCGAAAGCUAGGGGAGCAAACGGGG